CUGAGUCUCACAAGGCAAACAUGCAUGAAGGGGUUUGCCUAAGCCUGAAUCUCACAAGGAAAGAAUACCUGAAAUGUUUUAUCUAAGCCUAGGUCUCACAAGAUAUAUAUGUGUCGCAACCUGAAAAAUACAGUGCACGAAAAAAAACAACCGGCGAAAGAAAAAGACAGAAGAGUCGCCACCGUGCGUUAUUCAUCCCAAAGGAGGGAAAGGAAACGCUCGAAGUAAACCUGAAAAAGGAAAGGACAAGACGGG
This 255-nucleotide long non-coding RNA is filed under the name Lathyrus oleraceus (garden pea). RNAcentral describes it as "Pisum sativum (pea) long non-coding RNA (PSAT_LNC016380)". Lineage: Eukaryota; Viridiplantae; Streptophyta; Magnoliopsida; Fabales; Fabaceae. The record is from RNAcentral.